GCGCCCGUAGUUCAAUGGAUAGAGCGCCAGCCUCCGAAGCUGGCAAUGUGGGUUCGACUCCCGCCGGGCGCA
This 72-nucleotide transfer RNA is filed under the name Elusimicrobiota bacterium. Its description in RNAcentral is "tRNA-Arg". It matches the Rfam family "tRNA". From Rfam's summary of the family: Transfer RNA (tRNA) molecules are approximately 80 nucleotides in length. Their secondary structure includes four short double-helical elements and three loops (D, anti-codon, and T loops). The record is from RNAcentral. Lineage: Bacteria; Pseudomonadati; Elusimicrobiota.